This 245-nucleotide unclassified non-coding RNA is filed under the name uncultured Pyrenochaeta. Its description in RNAcentral is "sequence contains ITS1". Lineage: Eukaryota; Fungi; Ascomycota; Dothideomycetes; Pleosporales; Pleosporaceae. The record is from RNAcentral.
AACGUUAUAUCACGGGGGCCGGCCUUGAAUUGCUUGAGAUCCAUUGCAACCGGCUUGACGCCCAUUGCGAAGGGAUUCAUACCGGGUGCAAUGUCGAUAUAUACUCAGCAUUUUCUCCCCGCCCUGUCGGAAUACUACCCAUGAUUUUUGCGCACCCAUUGUUUCCUCGGCAGGCUUGCCUGCCAGUAGGACCUUUUUUAAACCUUUUGCAAUUGCAGUCAGCGUCAGAAAAACUUUAAUAGUUA